Small nucleolar RNA from Eupeodes corollae, 149 nucleotides. RefSeq annotates it as small nucleolar RNA psi28S-1192. The record is from RefSeq and is a predicted model, not a curated record. The transcript has a single exon. Lineage: Eukaryota; Metazoa; Arthropoda; Insecta; Diptera; Syrphidae.
GUAAGGUCCUUUAUAAUCCUGAACAACGAUAAUUGCCCCGUUGUUACAGCUUCGCUUAAGGACAACAUCAAUAUUUUUGUUUUAUUAUCCUAGCGCUUAAAAAUGUAAAUAUCGUAUUUGUGGUGCUCGAGAAACGUAGAACAACAUUU